Molecule: non-coding RNA, 72 nt
Organism: Ictidomys tridecemlineatus (thirteen-lined ground squirrel)
Lineage: Eukaryota; Metazoa; Chordata; Mammalia; Rodentia; Sciuridae
Source: Rfam
GGAGUUGUAGCUCAGUAGUAGAGCACUUGCCUAGUAUGUGAGAAGCACUGGGUUCCAACCUCAGCAGCACAU